Helianthus annuus (common sunflower) is the source of this 671-nucleotide long non-coding RNA. RefSeq lists it as uncharacterized. The transcript has 3 exons. The record is from RefSeq and is a predicted model, not a curated record. NCBI's taxonomy places the organism in Eukaryota, Viridiplantae, Streptophyta, Magnoliopsida, Asterales, Asteraceae.
AGUAGAUUUUGUAACGCCCCAAAAACCGGUUACCAAUUAAAAUAAAUGAAAAUGAACAACAAAAAAAAAGUAAACUAGUUGAUGGGUUAUGAUAAGAAAUAAGUUAAAAAAAAUUGAAAUAAUGCUUGAAUUAAAUACUUAACAACUUAUAAGGGGGUAAUGUGUUAAGUUCUAAUAAAUAAGGAUUUAUAGUGGGUAAACCCACAAACACACAUUCUGUGCGUGGGGAUGGAUCGAUCAAGCAGGAGGAGAACAAGGCCAAAUUCAGCAAAUUGAAGAGGAAAUUCAAGGAUAAUCCAAUGCAUGAACUUCGAUUUACACUCAUCUAAACUCGAUUAUUGAAGUGGCACGAAGAAGGAAGAAGGCGCAAGUCACUCGAAGGCAUAAGUAUCUCAAGAUCGCGGUAAAUCCUCAACUUAGGCGACUCGGCGAAAUGGAGCGAGCACACGAUCAAAAUAUGUCUUACCAAGCGCUUCCGCUAGCUUAUGCUAAUGUUUUGGGUCAAAAUACUUUUUGUACAAAUUGUUGGUAAAACGCCUUUAAGUACUUGAUGUUUUAGUUUUAGUAGUAUCUUGUAGAAUGAUAUUGUUUGAUUAUGGUUAAAACAGGGGCAUACUCGUUUUACGGACGGGUCAUGCCCAAUUUUUGUAAAAAUUUUAAUUAUGUAUUCA